UACAGAGGUCCCAAGCGUUACUGAGAAUCACUGGGUUUAAAGGGUGCGUAGGUGGUCCGUUAAGUCAGUUGUGAAAUCCCCAGGCUUAACCUGGGAACUGCAUCCGAUACUGGAUGGCUUGAAUCCGGGAGAGGGAUGCAGAAUUCCAGGUGUAGCGGUGAAAUGCGCAGAUAUCAGGAGGAACACCAAUGGCGAAGGCAGCUCGCUGGGACGGUACUGACGCUGAGACGCGAAAGCGUGGGGAGCAAACAGG
RNAcentral lists this ribosomal RNA (253 nucleotides) under uncultured bacterium. RNAcentral describes it as "partial 16S ribosomal RNA". It matches the Rfam family "Bacterial small subunit ribosomal RNA", at positions 524 to 776 of the family's 1533-position model. The record is from RNAcentral.